This 590-nucleotide ribosomal RNA is filed under the name Elaphomyces foetidus. RNAcentral describes it as "eukaryotic LSU rRNA". The stretch from base 221 to 374 matches the Rfam family "5.8S ribosomal RNA". The record is from RNAcentral. Lineage: Eukaryota; Fungi; Ascomycota; Eurotiomycetes; Eurotiales; Elaphomycetaceae.
UCCGUAGGUGAACCUGCGGAAGGAUCAUUAUCGAGUGAAGGGUCUCCCAGUGAGCCCGACCUCUCCACCCGUGUCUACCAAACUGUGUUGCUUCGGCGGGCCCGCCGUUCAGGCCGCCGGGGGGCAGGGGUCGUAUGACCCCUGCCUCCGGGCCCGCGUCCGCCGGAGGCGAGAAAACUACUGCUGUGAGACUGCUGUCUGAGUGGGAUGAAAUAGUUAAAACUUUCAACAAUGGAUCUCUUGGUUCCGGCAUCGAUGAAGAACGCAGCGAAAUGCGAUAAGUAAUGUGAAUUGCAGAAUUCCGUGAAUCAUCGAAUCUUUGAACGCAUAUUGCGCCCUCCGGCAUUCCGGAGGGCAUGCCUGUCCGAGCGUCAUUGCCAUCCCUCAAGCCCGGCUUGGGUGUUGGGCCGUCGUCCCCGUUUCCCGGGGGCGGGUCCGAAAGGCAGUGGCGGUGCCGGUUCGGUCCUGGAGCGUAUGGGGCUUUGUCACUCCGCUCUGCAGGAUCUGGAUCGGCGCUUGCCCCCCAGUCUUCCUCUCAGGUUGACCUCGGAUCAGGUAGGGAUACCCGCUGAACUUAAGCAUAUCAAUAA